RNAcentral lists this ribosomal RNA (391 nucleotides) under uncultured bacterium. RNAcentral describes it as "partial 16S ribosomal RNA". It matches the Rfam family "Bacterial small subunit ribosomal RNA", at positions 523 to 918 of the family's 1533-position model. The record is from RNAcentral.
AUCCGGAGGAUCCGAGCGUUAUCCGGAUUUAUUGGGUUUAAAGGGUGCGCAGGCGGCCAUUUAAGUCAGCGGUUAAAUCGUGGGGCUCAACCCCAUUCUGCCGUUGAUACUGGGUGGCUUGAUUGCGGUCGAGGUUGGCGGAAUUCGUUGUGUAGCGGUGAAAUGCAUAGAUAUGACGAAGAACACCGAUUGCGUAGGCAGCUGACCAGACCGCAAAUGACGCUCAUGCACGAGAGUGCGGGAGCGGACAGGAUUAGAUACCCUGGUAAUCCGCACAGUAAACGAUGAAUACGUGUUUUCGGCGAUAUAAUGUCGGAGGCAAAGCGAAAGCGAUGAGUAUUCCACCUGGGGAGUACGCCGGCAACGGUGAAACUCAAAGGAAUUGGAGGGG